This 409-nucleotide ribosomal RNA is filed under the name Pantoea agglomerans. RNAcentral's name for it is "bacterial SSU rRNA". It matches the Rfam family "Bacterial small subunit ribosomal RNA", at positions 83 to 488 of the family's 1533-position model. The record is from RNAcentral. Lineage: Bacteria; Pseudomonadati; Pseudomonadota; Gammaproteobacteria; Enterobacterales; Erwiniaceae.
CUUGGGUGACGAGUGGCGGACGGGUGAGUAAUGUCUGGGGAUCUGCCCGAUAGAGGGGGAUAACCACUGGAAACGGUGGCUAAUACCGCAUAACGUCGCAAGACCAAAGAGGGGGACCUUCGGGCCUCUCACUAUCGGAUGAACCCAGAUGGGAUUAGCUAGUAGGCGGGGUAAUGGCCCACCUAGGCGACGAUCCCUAGCUGGUCUGAGAGGAUGACCAGCCACACUGGAACUGAGACACGGUCCAGACUCCUACGGGAGGCAGCAGUGGGGAAUAUUGCACAAUGGGCGCAAGCCUGAUGCAGCCAUGCCGCGUGUAUGAAGAAGGCCUUCGGGUUGUAAAGUACUUUCAGCGGGGAGGAAGGCGAUGCGGUUAAUAACCGCGUCGAUUGACGUUACCCGCAGAAGA